This 566-nucleotide ribosomal RNA is filed under the name Oenococcus oeni. RNAcentral's name for it is "bacterial SSU rRNA". It matches the Rfam family "Bacterial small subunit ribosomal RNA", at positions 531 to 1094 of the family's 1533-position model. The record is from RNAcentral. Lineage: Bacteria; Bacillati; Bacillota; Bacilli; Lactobacillales; Lactobacillaceae.
GUCCCGAGCGUUAUCCGGAUUUAUUGGGCGUAAAGCGAGCGCAGACGGUUUAUUAAGUCUGAUGUGAAAUCCCGAGGCCCAACCUCGGAACUGCAUUGGAAACUGAUUUACUUGAGUGCGAUAGAGGCAAGUGGAACUCCAUGUGUAGCGGUGAAAUGCGUAGAUAUGUGGAAGAACACCAGUGGCGAAAGCGGCUUGCUAGAUCGUAACUGACGUUGAGGCUCGAAAGUAUGGGUAGCAAACGGGAUUAGAUACCCCGGUAGUCCAUACCGUAAACGAUGGGUGCUAGUUGUUAAGAGGUUUCCGCCUCCUAGUGACGUAGCAAACGCAUUAAGCACCCCGCCUGAGGAGUACGGCCGCAAGGCUAAAACUUAAAGGAAUUGACGGGGACCCGCACAAGCGGUGGAGCAUGUGGUUUAAUUCGAAGAUACGCGAAAAACCUUACCAGGUCUUGACAUACCAAUGAUCGCUUUUGUAAUGAAAGCUUUUCUUCGGAACAUUGGAUACAGGUGGUGCAUGGUCGUCGUCAGCUCGUGUCGUGAGAUGUUGGGUUAAGUCCCGCAACG